UCAUGAGACGAGACUUAGCUUUUGUUUAAAUCCGAUAGCCUGGAUUAACAAUAGAAAUUCCCUGAUUUUAUCUCAGAAUAAUAGUUCAUGCAUACGAGAUUCAUGCAUAGUUUAAUUACGCAUUCUCAUUUAAUUGAGAAUUUUCCCUCGAUUUAAAGUCUUACGUUAUUUUCUCGGAUUAAAGGUCGAGCGCAAGAAUAAGAGCUCGUCAAGGAGUCACUAAUCUGUAGCAAAGCUUUGCUAUCAGGUUGAGCAGCUGCCGAUGGUGAUGAAGUGACGAGCGGGACUCUUUUGUCUUAUUAUGUAUUAAUGAACUCUAGGGUUACAUGUCUUCAUACAUGUAAUCAGAACCUUAUUCCGCUGCGUACUCAGAAGUUUUAUGUUAUUUUGGAUAAGUCGGAGUUAUCCGAACUUACUAGUUAUUUGAGUCUAUACGACUAAAACUCCGUUAUAUUAUAAAUAUCCCU
Long non-coding RNA from Salvia miltiorrhiza (redroot sage), 467 nucleotides. RefSeq lists it as uncharacterized. NCBI's taxonomy places the organism in Eukaryota, Viridiplantae, Streptophyta, Magnoliopsida, Lamiales, Lamiaceae. The record is from RefSeq and is a predicted model, not a curated record. The transcript has 2 exons.